GACGAACGCUGGCGGCGUGCCUAAUACAUGCAAGUCGAGCGAAGUUUUUCUGGUGCUUGCACCGGAAAAACUUAGCGGCGAACGGGUGAGUAACACGUAAAGAACCUGCCUCAUAGACUGGGACAACUAUUGGAAACGAUAGCUAAUACCGGAUAACAGCAUUAACUGCAUGGUUGAUGUUUAAAAGUUGGUUUUGCUAACACUAUGAGAUGGCUUUGCGGUGCAUUAGCUGGUUGGUGGGGUAAAGGCCUACCAAGGCGACGAUGCAUAGCCGACCUGAGAGGGUGAUCGGCCACACUGGGACUGAGACACGGCCCAGACUCCUACGGGAGGCAGCAGUAGGGAAUCUUCCGCAAUGGGCGAAAGCCUGACGGAGCAACGCCGCGUGAGUGAAGAAGGAUUUCGGUUCGUAAAGCUCUGUUGUUAGGGAAGAAUGAUUGUGUAGUAACUAUACACAGUAGAGACGGUACCUAACCAGAAAGCCACGGCUAACUACGUG
RNAcentral lists this ribosomal RNA (499 nucleotides) under uncultured bacterium. RNAcentral describes it as "partial 16S ribosomal RNA". It matches the Rfam family "Bacterial small subunit ribosomal RNA", at positions 28 to 507 of the family's 1533-position model. The record is from RNAcentral.